Molecule: ribosomal RNA, 486 nt
Filed under: uncultured bacterium
Lineage: Bacteria
Description: partial 16S ribosomal RNA
Rfam family: Bacterial small subunit ribosomal RNA
Source: RNAcentral
GAUGAACGCUGGCGGCGUGCCUAAUACAUGCAAGUCGAACGCUGGAGAUCUAGCUUGCUAGAUCGAAGGAGUGGCGAACGGGUGAGUAAUACAUAAGCAACCUACCCACGAAGACUGGGAUAAUCUCUGGAAACGGGGACUAAUACCGGAUAGGUAAUCGGAAGGCAUCUUCUGGUUAUUAAAGGUUAAAAACACUGGUGGAUGGGCUUAGGGCGCAUUGGUUAGUUGGUGAGGUAACGGCCCACCAAGGCGAUGAUGCGUAGCCGGCCUGAGAGGUUGAAAGGCCACAUUGGGACUGAGGCACGGACCAGACUCCUACGGGAGGCAGCAGUAGGGAAUUUUCGGCAAUGGGGGCAAACCUGACCGAGCCGCGCCGGGUAAGUGAAGACGGCCUUCGGGUUGUAAAGCUCUGUUGUAAGAGAAGAACGGUAGAUAGAGAAUAUCUAAGUGACGGUACCUUACCAGAAAGCCACGGCUAACUACGUG